Molecule: ribosomal RNA, 2919 nt
Filed under: Staphylococcus aureus subsp. aureus CIG1233
Lineage: Bacteria; Bacillati; Bacillota; Bacilli; Caryophanales; Staphylococcaceae
Description: bacterial LSU rRNA
Rfam family: Bacterial large subunit ribosomal RNA
Source: RNAcentral
UAAGUUAUUAAGGGCGCACGGUGGAUGCCUUGGCACUAGAAGCCGAUGAAGGACGUUACUAACGACGAUAUGCUUUGGGGAGCUGUAAGUAAGCUUUGAUCCAGAGAUUUCCGAAUGGGGAAACCCAGCAUGAGUUAUGUCAUGUUAUCGAUAUGUGAAUACAUAGCAUAUCAGAAGGCACACCCGGAGAACUGAAACAUCUUAGUACCCGGAGGAAGAGAAAGAAAAUUCGAUUCCCUUAGUAGCGGCGAGCGAAACGGGAAGAGCCCAAACCAACAAGCUUGCUUGUUGGGGUUGUAGGACACUCUAUACGGAGUUACAAAGGACGACAUUAGACGAAUCAUCUGGAAAGAUGAAUCAAAGAAGGUAAUAAUCCUGUAGUCGAAAAUGUUGUCUCUCUUGAGUGGAUCCUGAGUACGACGGAGCACGUGAAAUUCCGUCGGAAUCUGGGAGGACCAUCUCCUAAGGCUAAAUACUCUCUAGUGACCGAUAGCGAACCAGUACCGUGAGGGAAAGGUGAAAAGCACCCCGGAAGGGGAGUGAAAUAGAACCUGAAACCGUGUGCUUACAAGUAGUCAGAGCCCGUUAAUGGGUGAUGGCGUGCCUUUUGUAGAAUGAACCGGCGAGUUACGAUUUGAUGCAAGGUUAAGCAGUAAAUGUGGAGCCGUAGCGAAAGCGAGUCUGAAUAGGGCGUUUAGUAUUUGGUCGUAGACCCGAAACCAGGUGAUCUACCCUUGGUCAGGUUGAAGUUCAGGUAACACUGAAUGGAGGACCGAACCGACUUACGUUGAAAAGUGAGCGGAUGAACUGAGGGUAGCGGAGAAAUUCCAAUCGAACCUGGAGAUAGCUGGUUCUCUCCGAAAUAGCUUUAGGGCUAGCCUCAAGUGAUGAUUAUUGGAGGUAGAGCACUGUUUGGACGAGGGGCCCCUCUCGGGUUACCGAAUUCAGACAAACUCCGAAUGCCAAUUAAUUUAACUUGGGAGUCAGAACAUGGGUGAUAAGGUCCGUGUUCGAAAGGGAAACAGCCCAGACCACCAGCUAAGGUCCCAAAAUAUAUGUUAAGUGGAAAAGGAUGUGGCGUUGCCCAGACAACUAGGAUGUUGGCUUAGAAGCAGCCAUCAUUUAAAGAGUGCGUAAUAGCUCACUAGUCGAGUGACACUGCGCCGAAAAUGUACCGGGGCUAAACAUAUUACCGAAGCUGUGGAUUGUCCUUUGGACAAUGGUAGGAGAGCGUUCUAAGGGCGUUGAAGCAUGAUCGUAAGGACAUGUGGAGCGCUUAGAAGUGAGAAUGCCGGUGUGAGUAGCGAAAGACGGGUGAGAAUCCCGUCCACCGAUUGACUAAGGUUUCCAGAGGAAGGCUCGUCCGCUCUGGGUUAGUCGGGUCCUAAGCUGAGGCCGACAGGCGUAGGCGAUGGAUAACAGGUUGAUAUUCCUGUACCACCUAUAAUCGUUUUAAUCGAUGGGGGGACGCAGUAGGAUAGGCGAAGCGUGCGAUUGGAUUGCACGUCUAAGCAGUAAGGCUGAGUAUUUGGCAAAUCCGGUACUCAUUAAGGCUGAGCUGUGAUGGGGAGAAGACAUUGUGUCUUCGAGUCGUUGAUUUCACACUGCCGAGAAAAGCCUCUAGAUAGGAAAUAGGUGCCCGUACCGCAAACCGACACAGGUAGUCAAGAUGAGAAUUCUAAGGUGAGCGAGCGAACUCUCGUUAAGGAACUCGGCAAAAUGACCCCGUAACUUCGGGAGAAGGGGUGCUCUUUAGGGUUAACGCCCAGAAGAGCCGCAGUGAAUAGGCCCAAGCGACUGUUUAUCAAAAACACAGGUCUCUGCUAAACCGUAAGGUGAUGUAUAGGGGCUGACGCCUGCCCGGUGCUGGAAGGUUAAGAGGAGUGGUUAGCUUCUGCGAAGCUACGAAUCGAAGCCCCAGUAAACGGCGGCCGUAACUAUAACGGUCCUAAGGUAGCGAAAUUCCUUGUCGGGUAAGUUCCGACCCGCACGAAAGGCGUAACGAUUUGGGCACUGUCUCAACGAGAGACUCGGUGAAAUCAUAGUACCUGUGAAGAUGCAGGUUACCCGCGACAGGACGGAAAGACCCCGUGGAGCUUUACUGUAGCCUGAUAUUGAAAUUCGGCACAGCUUGUACAGGAUAGGUAGGAGCCUUUGAAACGUGAGCGCUAGCUUACGUGGAGGCGCUGGUGGGAUACUACCCUAGCUGUGUUGGCUUUCUAACCCGCACCACUUAUCGUGGUGGGAGACAGUGUCAGGCGGGCAGUUUGACUGGGGCGGUCGCCUCCUAAAAGGUAACGGAGGCGCUCAAAGGUUCCCUCAGAAUGGUUGGAAAUCAUUCAUAGAGUGUAAAGGCAUAAGGGAGCUUGACUGCGAGACCUACAAGUCGAGCAGGGUCGAAAGACGGACUUAGUGAUCCGGUGGUUCCGCAUGGAAGGGCCAUCGCUCAACGGAUAAAAGCUACCCCGGGGAUAACAGGCUUAUCUCCCCCAAGAGUUCACAUCGACGGGGAGGUUUGGCACCUCGAUGUCGGCUCAUCGCAUCCUGGGGCUGUAGUCGGUCCCAAGGGUUGGGCUGUUCGCCCAUUAAAGCGGUACGCGAGCUGGGUUCAGAACGUCGUGAGACAGUUCGGUCCCUAUCCGUCGUGGGCGUAGGAAAUUUGAGAGGAGCUGUCCUUAGUACGAGAGGACCGGGAUGGACAUACCUCUGGUGUACCAGUUGUCGUGCCAACGGCAUAGCUGGGUAGCUAUGUGUGGACGGGAUAAGUGCUGAAAGCAUCUAAGCAUGAAGCCCCCCUCAAGAUGAGAUUUCCCAACUUCGGUUAUAAGAUCCCUCAAAGAUGAUGAGGUUAAUAGGUUCGAGGUGGAAGCAUGGUGACAUGUGGAGCUGACGAAUACUAAUCGAUCGAAGACUUAAUCA